UACGAAGGGGGCUAGCGUUGCUCGGAAUCACUGGGCGUAAAGGGCGCGUAGGCGGUCUUGUAAGUCUCGUGUGAAAUCCCUCGGCUUAACUGAGGAACUGCACGGGAUACUGCAUGACUUGAGAUCGGGAGAGGGAAGCGGAAUUCCGGGUGUAGCGGUGAAAUGCGUAGAUAUCUGGAGGAACACCGGUGGCGAAGGCGGCAUCCUGGACCGGUAUUGACGCUGAGGCGCGAAAGCCAGGGGAGCAAACGGG
RNAcentral lists this ribosomal RNA (253 nucleotides) under uncultured bacterium. RNAcentral describes it as "partial 16S ribosomal RNA". It matches the Rfam family "Bacterial small subunit ribosomal RNA", at positions 524 to 776 of the family's 1533-position model. The record is from RNAcentral.